This 535-nucleotide ribosomal RNA is filed under the name Fusarium sambucinum. RNAcentral's name for it is "eukaryotic LSU rRNA". It matches the Rfam family "Eukaryotic large subunit ribosomal RNA", at positions 66 to 624 of the family's 3401-position model. RNAcentral also lists the same sequence under 1 other name. Lineage: Eukaryota; Fungi; Ascomycota; Sordariomycetes; Hypocreales; Nectriaceae. The record is from RNAcentral.
CAACAGGGAUUGCCCUAGUAACGGCGAGUGAAGCGGCAACAGCUCAAAUUUGAAAUCUGGCUCUCGGGCCCGAGUUGUAAUUUGUAGAGGAUGACUUUGAUGCGGUGCCUUCCGAGUUCCCUGGAACGGGACGCCAUAGAGGGUGAGAGCCCCGUCUGGUUGGAUGCCAAAUCUCUGUAAGUCUCCUUCGACGAGUCGAGUAGUUUGGGAAUGCUGCUCUAAAUGGGAGGUAUAUGUCUUCUAAAGCUAAAUACCGGCCAGAGACCGAUAGCGCACAAGUAGAGUGAUCGAAAGAUGAAAAGCACUUUGAAAAGAGAGUUAAAAAGUACGUGAAAUUGUUGAAAGGGAAGCGUUUAUGACCAGACUUGGGCUUGGUUAAUCAUCUGGGGUUCUCCCCAGUGCACUUUUCCAGUCCAGGCCAGCAUCAGUUUUCGCCGGGGGACAAAGGCUUCGGGAAUGUGGCUCCCCUCGGGGAGUGUUAUAGCCCGUUGUGUAAUGCCCUGGCGGGGACUGAGGUUCGCGCUUCUGCAAGGAU